UUAAUUGAAGCCAAAAUAGAGGCUUUUCAUUGUUAAUGAAACUAUUGAUUUAUUUAAUCCAAUUAAA
This 67-nucleotide transfer RNA is filed under the name Yemmalysus parallelus. Its description in RNAcentral is "tRNA-Asn". RNAcentral also lists the same sequence under 1 other name. The record is from RNAcentral. Lineage: Eukaryota; Metazoa; Arthropoda; Insecta; Hemiptera; Berytidae.